This 1440-nucleotide long non-coding RNA is filed under the name Heterocephalus glaber (naked mole-rat). RNAcentral describes it as "lncRNA (ENSHGLG00000047679.1)". Lineage: Eukaryota; Metazoa; Chordata; Mammalia; Rodentia; Bathyergidae. The record is from RNAcentral.
CUGAUUUAACUGGCUCCCUUUGAUUCUCAGGUUUUAUUAACAGAUUUUCUAUAGUCUAAGAUUGUGUGUGUGUGUGUGUGUGUGUAAGAGACUAAUGUAAGGCAGUGAAUAAUGUUCUGAGUUAGUUCUUCCAAGAAGGGUUAGAAUAUACUAGUGGACAGGCAGUUGGGUUGCACGGGAAAUAGCAACCAGAAGAAAAUUUACAUUGAUAGGUGUUUGUGUUGAGGGAUAUUUAAUUCUCCGUAAGGUCCAAAAGUUACCAUUAAAGGAGACAGAAACAGAAAACAUCUUCUUGCCUUACACUUAAAAUAUACCCUAAGGCCAGGGGUUUAACACAAGGCCUGGGUUUGAGCCCCGGCACCACAGGAUUUUUAAAUUACACUGUUGUAGCCAGUGAAAUACCCCACAGAAACCUUUUUAAAGCUUGCUCCCUGAAUACAUUCCAUAUUCUUCAGUUGCAUCUGUGGAACCUCUAAGGCCUCCCUCUCUUUAUGUAAGGCACUUUUUAAAAAACAGUUUUUGCCUUAUUUUAGGUGAGAACUACCAGCUGAAGAUUUCAUUCUGAUCACCUGGCUGAGCCCUGUGCCAACCUGGGGUGACCCCACCCACCCACCUGCCUGCCUGCACUGGGUGUGAGUUCACGCAACGUCUUGACAGCUCCGUACCUCAGCCCCAGCCCCAGAGGUCUGGGGCAUGUUGCUGUGAGGGCAGAGUGUGUGCAGCCUUGUUGAAAAAAUGUAACCUCUGCGUCGUGCAUGCCCUUCCCAGGCAUGGCCCAGCGCUGUGUAGUGGGCCCCGAGACCAGUCAGUGACAGGGCCACAUCAGGCCCACUGCGGUCAGUGUGCAAGGAUAAGAGAUUCUUCGAGCUCACAGGUCACAGGAGCGGUUCCCCAUCAGCCCUGUGGAGCACACAGGAGCUAGCUCUACAAGGCCCCCUUUCCUGGGCAGCUGUGGCUCAGCAGUGUUGGGUCCCCCGGCCUCUGCUGUGUGUCUACUCUGUCACUGUCAUCCUCAAAAGGAGAAAAGGACGAUGCUGCCCUUCCUUGUGUUGCCCUCGUCUGCAGAUAGCAUUCCUCUGGUACUGGUGCCAACCCAGCAGCUUGUCAGGAGCUCACUGACAGGAAGCAUCAUUGAAGCCAACGUCUGCUUUUAAGAAGACCAGAAAGACCCAGGUGUGAAGAGAACCAACCAAGCUUUGAACCAGUGCUUCAGGUAUGAAGAGGCACUCGUGGCCCAGCCGAGGAGGAUUUCCAGGACAGCUGCGCCCGCUGCCCGAUACAGUGCCUUCCAGCCGCUCUGUGAGAACUGCAUGUGCCUGACUGGUCUGGGCUUGUGGUCAGCUCUCAUCGGGCCAAGCCCUGUCACCAAUGGACCCAGUGUGAUCUAGGUGCGGCUGAAGAAUCCUGGGUUUGCAUUCAACAACUUUCACCAAAAUCCAG